AGAGAGGAGCUUGCUCUUCUUGGAUGAGUUGCGAACGGGUGAGUAACGCGUAGGUAACCUGCCUUGUAGCGGGGGAUAACUAUUGGAAACGAUAGCUAAUACCGCAUAACAAUGGAUGACACAUGUCAUUUAUUUGAAAGGGGCAAUUGCUCCACUACAAGAUGGACCUGCGUUGUAUUAGCUAGUAGGUGAGGUAAUGGCUCACCUAGGCGACGAUACAUAGCCGACCUGAGAGGGUGAUCGGCCACACUGGGACUGAGACACGGCCCAGACUCCUACGGGAGGCAGCAGUAGGGAAUCUUCGGCAAUGGGGGCAACCCUGACCGAGCAACGCCGCGUGAGUGAAGAAGGUUUUCGGAUCGUAAAGCUCUGUUGUAAGUCAAGAACGGGUGUGAGAGUGGAAAGUUCACACUGUGACGGUAGCUUACCAGAAAGGGACGGCUAACUACGUGCCAGCAGCCGCGGUAAUACGUAGGUCCCGAGCGUUGUCCGGAUUUAUUGGGCGUAAAGCGAGCGCAGGCGGUUUGAUAAGUCUGAAGUUAAAGGCUGUGGCUCAACCAUAGUUCGCUUUGGAAACUGUCAAACUUGAGUGCAGAAGGGGAGAGUGGAAUUCCAUGUGUAGCGGUGAAAUGCGUAGAUAUAUGGAGGAACACCGGUGGCGAAAGCGGCUCUCUGGUCUGUAACUGACGCUGAGGCUCGAAAGCGUGGGGAGCGAACAGGAUUAGAUACCCUGGUAGUCCACGCCGUAAACGAUGAGUGCUAGGUGUUGGAUCCUUUCCGGGAUUCAGUGCCGCAGCUAACGCAUUAAGCACUCCGCCUGGGGAGUACGACCGCAAGGUUGAAACUCAAAGGAAUUGACGGGGGCCCGCACAAGCGGUGGAGCAUGUGGUUUAAUUCGAAGCAACGCGAAGAACCUUACCAGGUCUUGACAUCCCGAUGCUAUUUCUAGAGAUAGAAAGUUACUUCGGUACAUCGGUGACAGGUGGUGCAUGGUUGUCGUCAGCUCGUGUCGUGAGAUGUUGGGUUAAGUCCCGCAACGAGCGCAACCCUUAUUGUUAGUUGCCAUCAUUCAGUUGGGCACUCUAGCGAGACUGCCGGUAAUAAACCGGAGGAAGGUGGGGAUGACGUCAAAUCAUCAUGCCCCUUAUGACCUGGGCUACACACGUGCUACAAUGGUUGGUACAACGAGUUGCGAGUCGGUGACGGCGAGCUAAUCUCUUAAAGCCAAUCUCAGUUCGGAUUGUAGGCUGCAACUCGCCUACAUGAAGUCGGAAUCGCUAGUAAUCGCGGAUCAGCACGCCGCGGUGAAUACGUUCCCGGGCCUUGUACACACCGCCCGUCACACCACGAGAGUUUGUAACACCCGAAGUCGGUGAGGUA
This 1380-nucleotide ribosomal RNA is filed under the name Streptococcus thermophilus. RNAcentral describes it as "bacterial SSU rRNA". It matches the Rfam family "Bacterial small subunit ribosomal RNA", at positions 70 to 1437 of the family's 1533-position model. The record is from RNAcentral. Lineage: Bacteria; Bacillati; Bacillota; Bacilli; Lactobacillales; Streptococcaceae.